CAGUAGCCGCGGGAAUACAGAGGUCCCGAGCGUUGUUCGGAUUCACUGGGCGUAAAGGGUGUGUAGGAGGUUUGGUAAGUCAGGUGUGAAAUCCCGCAGCUCAACUGCGGAACUGCAUUCGAUACUGCCGAACUAGAGGCUUGGAGGGGGAAGCGGAAUUCUUGGUGUAGCGGUGAAAUGCGUAGAUAUCAAGAGGAACACCGGUGGCGAAGGCGGCUUCCUGGACAAGUCCUGACUCUGAAACACGAAAGCCAGGGGAGCGAAUGGGAUUAGAUACCCCCGUAGUCCCUGUCUCUUAUAA
This 301-nucleotide ribosomal RNA is filed under the name uncultured bacterium. RNAcentral's name for it is "partial 16S ribosomal RNA". It matches the Rfam family "Bacterial small subunit ribosomal RNA", at positions 509 to 809 of the family's 1533-position model. The record is from RNAcentral.